UUUUCAUUUGCAUACAUUUUCAUAUAUUUUGGUGAAAAUAAUAGACUGGUGGAGAGCUGGGUUUAGAAGAGUCAGUAUAAAGGGAAGACUAAGGAUGCAUCGGUUCUGGGGAGUUGAGAAUAUGCCUCCCCCCCCCCCAGGCACCUUUAAAAAAUAAUAAAACAUCUUCUUUUAUUUUAAAAUCUAAUCCUGGAAGUUUGUUCGGUAAAGCCACUUUAAGGCAACACGGUUUCCUGCGUCCUUUGUGUUCCCCUGUCCUGUGGUCUGGAGACAAAGCUGGGGAACAAGACUCAGCUGACCUCUGACAUUAUGGAGCUACCCUUGAGUAAGGGAGAUGGACGGAUGGCACGCGAGGGACCAAACAGAGAGAGGGUCACACGUGGAGUUGACUAGCACAGUUAUGGAGGGCAGGAAGUCCUACAAUGUGCUGUCUGCAAUCUGGAGACCAAGGAAAGCUGCUCAUGUAACUCACCUCAAGUCUGAAGACCUGAGAAUCACAGGGGUCCCUGGGGAGAAACUCUGUAAAUUCUAGCUGGAUUCUGAAGGCCCAAGACCCAGAAACUCUGAUGCCCGAGGGCAGGAGAAGAUGGAUGUCUCCACCUUUCUUCUGUCUUUCUCUUCUAUUCUGGUCCUCAAUGGAUUAGAUGACGCCUACUGCAUCGGUGAAGGUGAUCUUCGUUACUCAUCUACUCGUUCAGAUGCAAAUCCCUUCCAGAAACGCUCUCACAGACACAUCCAGACUUAUGUUUUACCAGCAGUCUGGGCAUCUCUUAGCCCAGUCAAGUUGACACAUGAGAAUAAUG
Mustela lutreola (European mink) is the source of this 803-nucleotide long non-coding RNA. RefSeq lists it as uncharacterized. Lineage: Eukaryota; Metazoa; Chordata; Mammalia; Carnivora; Mustelidae. The record is from RefSeq and is a predicted model, not a curated record. The transcript is spliced from 3 exons.